GGGUUUGGGGUAUAGGGCUUGUUUUCUCUUCGCUCGCUGAGCUCCUUCCUCUUGCUCCUGGUAUCUCACCCCUGCUCAGGGUUCUGUUCUCUUUGCUGUGAACUCCUGUGUCUGAAAUGCCUUUGGGGUUCCUCUUCAUGUUUCCUCUCUUGCCUUACCCCCUUUCUCGUUUUCCCCUUUACUGUUAGUAUUACUACUUUUGAGUGCUCUAAAUGCUGAUUUUUAAAAAACUUGUCUGAAACAGAAAUGUAUUCUCAGAAUAAUGCAUAAAAGCACAGGUCGAGCUAUGCAGAAACUUCCCUCCCUUCUCCUACCUUUUCCCUUCUCUGAAUGCCAGGGAGAAGGACGCAGUUGAAGGAAAUAUGCAAUCAAAACAGUGACCAACUCUAAGGACAAAGGCGUGGUCCAAAAGAACUUACCAUUAUCCAAUUAUGUGAACAGCUUCACUGACCAGGGUUAAGAUGCUGCAGAUGUCUUGUUUCUGUAGGGCGGCUUCUCAGGGCUGCUUCAGGGAGGUAAGGAUGCAGUGCACGUGGGAGACAUCUGUGGCCUGCUCCCUGGGCUUAGGGUAAAGUCGCACAGCUGUGCACCCACUUUGGGACACUCAUUAGUGUCCUCACAAUGGCUGUGCUGCCCGGCCGUUUGCCUCCGCUUUCUGUACUGCUCACUGUCUCACGCACGCACCACCUCCCAGCUCCUUGGUUGCUUUCCACGCUGCUUCUUGCCACCAAGAAUUGGCAUCAAGUGCUUCCAGGCGCUGUUUGCUCUUCUCUCCAUUUAUGGAGACUCAGUCUCUGAUCGCGGCGGAUCCACUUUUGAGAUAGCGGCAUAACUGUUGGCCCUUUACUCUCCGCUCGCAUUUGCCGCUUCCCUCCCAUCAGCAGUGUCGGGACUUGGUUUAGGUUACCUUCUAGCACUCGAGGCUGUACGUUCAUCUACAGAAAUGUUUGUAAUUUUUUUUCCUAAUGGAUUUAAACUUAUAAAUCAUUAAAACCAUUUGAGCUUGUAUCUGUA
Molecule: long non-coding RNA, 1014 nt
Filed under: Rattus norvegicus (Norway rat)
Lineage: Eukaryota; Metazoa; Chordata; Mammalia; Rodentia; Muridae
Description: long non-coding RNA NONRATT030132
Source: RNAcentral